Molecule: ribosomal RNA, 253 nt
Filed under: uncultured bacterium
Lineage: Bacteria
Description: partial 16S ribosomal RNA
Rfam family: Bacterial small subunit ribosomal RNA
Source: RNAcentral
AACGUAGGUGGCGAGCGUUAUCCGGAUUUACUGGGUGUAAAGCGCGUGCAGGCGGCUUCGCAAGUGGGAUGUGAAAGCGCCCGGCUCAACCGGGCGAGGACGUUGCAGACUGCGAAGCUGGAGGCGGAAAGAGGCGAGUGGAAUUCCGGGUGUAGUGGUGAAAUGCGUAGAGAUCCGGAGGAACACCAGUGGCGAAGGCGACUCGCUGGUUCCGUACUGACGCUCAGACGCGAAAGCAUGGGGAGCGAACGGG